AGCGAACGCUGGCGGCAGGCCUAACACAUGCAAGUCGAACGAACUCUUCGGAGUUAGUGGCGGACGGGUGAGUAACACGGGGGAACGUGCGUUUUGGUUCGGAAUAACUCAGGGAAACUUGUGCUAAUACCGAAUGUGCCCUUCGGGGGAAAGAUUUAUCGCCAUUAGAGCGGCCUGCGUCUGAUUAGCUAGUUGGGGAGGUAACGGCUCACCAAGGCGACGAUCAGUAGCUGGUCUGAGAGGAUGACCAGCCACACUGGGACUGAGACACGGCCCAGACUCCUACGGGAGGCAGCAGUGGGGAAUCUUGCGCAAUGGGCGAAAGGCUGACGCAGCCAUGCUGCGUGAAUGAUGCAGGUCUUAGGAUUGUAAAAUUCUUUCACCGGGGACGAUAAUGACGGUACCCGGAGAAGAAGCCCCGGCUAACUUCGUG
RNAcentral lists this ribosomal RNA (433 nucleotides) under uncultured bacterium. RNAcentral's name for it is "partial 16S ribosomal RNA". It matches the Rfam family "Bacterial small subunit ribosomal RNA", at positions 29 to 507 of the family's 1533-position model. The record is from RNAcentral.